UGGCGGGAACUCCAUCAUCGAAUAAAGGGAAAGGAAAUGGAGAGAGUGGAGAUAAGGUACUCCGUGCUAGGAAUGGAACUUCAUCAUCGAAGAAAGGGAAAGGAGAUCCAUUUCCAAAGCGAGGGAAGAUCAAAACCAUUAUAUUUAAUGAUUUCUUCGGAACGAACCCCAGAUCAGCAGAAUCUGAAGGAGGAGAUGGAGAGAGCGAAGAAAGCGGCUCUGGCAGUGCUUGAUCCACAUCUGUUCAUGGGCUAUCGAGCUAUGCGGAGGGGAAGAUCAGGUGGAGAGGAAGCAGAGGGACUUAUAUUCGAUCGCCUUCUAUUUCCAUAGAUAGAAUGAUGGGUUCGUGGGUUUAUCUUUUCUGUGGAAAUUUCAGAGGCUACUAUUGUUUUUUAUCUUCAGAUUCCAGGGAAUUAGUUGUAGUGUUGUAGUUUCGGGGAAUGAGUUGUAGUGUUGUAGUUUCAGGAAUUGAAUUGUUUUUUUUUUUUUUUUUCAUGCUACGAAGGGAUAUUUGAUGAUUUCAGUGGAUUUCUUCUGAUACUUGGAUUCCUGUCAGAUUGUAUGAAA
Long non-coding RNA from Magnolia sinica, 567 nucleotides. RefSeq lists it as uncharacterized. Lineage: Eukaryota; Viridiplantae; Streptophyta; Magnoliopsida; Magnoliales; Magnoliaceae. The record is from RefSeq and is a predicted model, not a curated record. The transcript has 2 exons.